Molecule: ribosomal RNA, 465 nt
Filed under: Vreelandella stevensii
Lineage: Bacteria; Pseudomonadati; Pseudomonadota; Gammaproteobacteria; Oceanospirillales; Halomonadaceae
Description: partial 16S ribosomal RNA
Rfam family: Bacterial small subunit ribosomal RNA
Source: RNAcentral
CCUACGGGAGGCAGCAGUGGGGAAUAUUGGACAAUGGGCGAAAGCCUGAUCCAGCCAUGCCGCGUGUGUGAAGAAGGCCUUCGGGUUGUAAAGCACUUUCAGUGGGGAAGAAAGCCUUGGGGCUAAUACCCUCGAGGAAGGACAUCACCCACAGAAGAAGCACCGGCUAACUCCGUGCCAGCAGCCGCGGUAAUACGGAGGGUGCGAGCGUUAAUCGGAAUUACUGGGCGUAAAGCGCGCGUAGGCGGUCUGAUAAGCCGGUUGUGAGAGCCCCGGGCUCAACCUGGGAACGGCAUCCGGAACUGUCAGGCUAGAGUGCAGGAGAGGAAGGUAGAAUUCCCGGUGUAGCGGUGAAAUGCGUAGAGAUCGGGAGGAAUACCAGUGGCGAAGGCGGCCUUCUGGACUGACACUGACGCUGAGGUGCGAAAGCGUGGGUAGCAAACAGGAUUAGAUACCCGGGUAGUC